This 1572-nucleotide ribosomal RNA is filed under the name Triticum aestivum (bread wheat). RNAcentral describes it as "partial small subunit ribosomal RNA". Lineage: Eukaryota; Viridiplantae; Streptophyta; Magnoliopsida; Poales; Poaceae. The record is from RNAcentral.
AUGAGCGUUUUUAAGCUUCCGGCGGCCACUUGCGAGGACCUUAUGAGAAUGAUUCGGAACUUUUUUUGGGGCAUAGAGAAAGGGAAGAGGAAGAUGCAUUGGAGAGCAUGGAUUCAUUUGAUCAAACCGAAGUCACAAGGGGGACUGGGUUUUCGUGAUCUGCGUCUAUUUAAUCAAGCCCUCCUCGCACGCCAAGCUUGGCGGCUAUUGAUCAACCCGGAUAGCCUGUGCGCCCGUAUUUUGAAGGCAAGGUACUACCCAAAUGGCAGCUUGGAGGACACCGUCUUCUCAGGUGGUGCCUCAGCGACAUGGCAAGGGGUGGUACAUGGUCUCGAUCUCUUGAAAACAGGACUUGUUUGGCGUGUGGGGAAUGGGAACUCCAUCAGAAUUUGGCGUGAUCGCUGGCUCCCAAGGAAUGGCAGCGGCAGACCGGUGACACCGCAGGGUCGCUGUCGUCUCUGCCGGGUGAGUGACCUGCUGGAUAACCAUGGCGCUUGGCGCAUGGAUGUGGUUCGGGAGACAUUUUUUCCGGUGGACGCGGAGGAGAUAGCCAAGAUCAGAACAUCACCGAGGAUGGGAGACGACAUCCUUGCAUGGGGUCCAGAACGCAAUGGAUGUUUUUCGGUGCGAAGCGCUUAUCGACUUGCUUUGGAGGAUCAUCUUCGAUCUUCUUCAGUCGCGGCGAGUAGGGCACCGGACGGGCGACGAGCCAUCUGGGCUUUUAUUUGGAGGUGCCCUGCUCCUCCCAAGGUUCGAACCUUUACCUGGCGGUUGAUCACUAAUUGUUUGCCCACUCGGGUAGAUAAAAAACGUCAAGGACUGGAGGUAUUUGAUCAAUGCCCUCUCUGCGCUAUGGAGCCGGAGGACACGUUUCAUGCCUUUUGCAGGUGCCCGAGGGCGGUGGCGUUAUGGCAAGCUAUGGCUGAGAGAUGGAGGAUUCCAGCUGCGUCGUCGUUCCAGAGGACGGGCUCAGAGUGGCUCGCCCAAACUCUCUGCGACCUUCCUGACACGGAGAGGACGGAACUCAUGAUGACUCUAUGGCGCUGCUGGCACGUACGAAACGAGAUGACACAUCACAAGCAGCCGCCCCCGGUCGAUGCUUCCAAAAGGUUCCUCCUCAGCUAUGUCGACUCGCUUGUGGGCAUACAAAAUAACCCAAGUGCAGAUCUAGUGAAGGUCAAGCAAGUGAACGAUGCAGUGGUGCAGACGAAACCCACAUCACAUGCUCCUGUUGCGGCUGGGACGCAAAUUCGAUGGACACUUCUGCCUGCAAGCUGGACAAAACUCAACGUCGACGGCUCGCUCUGUGCAUCUACUAGUAUGGCUGGAGCGGGUAUGAUUCUGCGCGAUAGUGCCGGCGAGAUCAUAUUCUCCUCAUGCAGAGAACUGAGGUCAUGUGCAGAACCCCUAGAGGCUGAACUGCUUGCGUGUAUGAAGGGCCUGAACCUUGCCUUACAAUGGACGCAGCAACCUAUCGUAGUGGAAACAGACUGCCUUGUUGCUCUCAACAUGAUCAUAGGAAGAGAGAGAGAGAGAUCGGUCCCGUUACUCCAUGCUUGUGGACCAGAUUAA